AGUGAGGGCAUGGGUGCUAAGGUCCAUGUCCGAGAGGGAAAGAACCCGGACCAUCAGCUAAGGUCCCCAAAUAUGUGCUAAGUUGACAAAACGCGGUGGGACUGCACAGACAGCCAGGAUGUUGGCUUGGAAGCAGCCAUUCAUUUAAAGAGUGCGUAACAGCUCACUGGUCGAGCGGUCCCGCAUGGAUAAUGAUCGGGCAUAAGCACAUUACCGAAGCUAUGGCAUCGAAAGAUGGGUAGGGGAGCAUUCCGUUCUGCGUUGAAGCGGGCCUGCGAGGUCCCGUGGAGCGUACGGAAACGAAAAUGUAGGCAUAAGUAACGAUAAUGCGGGCGAGAAACCCGCACGCCGAAAGACCAAGGUUUCCCCGGCCAUGCUAAUCAGCCGGGGGUCAGUCGGGACCUAACACGAACCCGGAAGGGGCAGUGGAUGGACAACGGGUUAAUAUUCCCGUACCCGCAAUGCGACAAAAGUGACGGGGCGCCAUAGUUGGUGCGUGCUGACGGAAUAGCACGUUGAAGCGUAAGCGAUAGUACGACAAGGCCACGGCCGCGUCGAUAAUCCAGCGGAGGCGCCUCCAAGAAAAGCGAGCAUUGCGGCCCGUACCGUAAACCGACACAGGUGGUCGGGAUGAGAAUUCUAAGGCGCUCGAGAGAUUCAUGGUUAAGGAACUAGGCAAAAUGGACGCGUAACUUCGGGAGAAGCGUCGCUCCCCCCAGGGGGAGCCGCAGUGAAUAGGCCCAGGCGACUGUUUAUCAAAAACACAGGGCUCUGCCAAAUCGAAAGAUGAAGUAUAGGGCCUGACACCUGCCCGGUGCCGGAAGGUUAAAGGGAGACGUCAGCCACUUGUGGUGAAGCGUUGAACUGAAGCCCCGGUAAACGGCGGCCGUAACUAUAACGGUCCUAAGGUAGCGAAAUUCCUUGUCGGGUAAGUUCCGACCUGCACGAAUGGCGUAAUGAUCUGGGCACUGUCUCAACCAUGAUCUCGGUGAAAUUGUAGUAUCGGUGAAGAUGCCGGUUACCCGCAGUGGGACGAAAAGACCCCGUGCACCUUUACUAUAGCUUCGUAUUGACCUUGGUCAAACAAUGUGUAGGAUAGCUGGGAGGCUUUGAAGCUGCGUCGCCAGGCGUGGUGGAGCCGUUGUUGAAAUACCAGCCUUUGUUUGAUCGGGGCCUAACCUCUAACGAGGGACAGUGCGUGGUGGGUAGUUUGACUGGGGUGGUCGCCUCCAAAAGAGUAACGGAG
RNAcentral lists this ribosomal RNA (1246 nucleotides) under marine metagenome. Its description in RNAcentral is "bacterial LSU rRNA". It matches the Rfam family "Bacterial large subunit ribosomal RNA", at positions 982 to 2305 of the family's 2925-position model. The record is from RNAcentral.